CCAUGCAGUCGAACGAUGAACCACUUCGGUGGGGAUUAGUGGCGAACGGGUGAGUAACACGUGGGCAAUCUGCCCUUCACUCUGGGACAAGCCCUGGAAACGGGGUCUAAUACCGGAUACCACUACCGCAGGCAUCUGUGGUGGUUGAAAGCUCCGGCGGUGAAGGAUGAGCCCGCGGCCUAUCAGCUUGUUGGUGAGGUAAUGGCUCACCAAGGCGACGACGGGUAGCCGGCCUGAGAGGGCGACCGGCCACACUGGGACUGAGACACGGCCCAGACUCCUACGGGAGGCAGCAGUGGGGAAUAUUGCACAAUGGGCGAAAGCCUGAUGCAGCGACGCCGCGUGAGGGAUGACGGCCUUCGGGUUGUAAACCUCUUUCAGCAGGGAAGAAGCGAAAGUGACGGUACCUGCAGAAGAAGCGCCGGCUAACUACGUGCCAGCAGCCGCGGUAAUACGUAGGGCGCAAGCGUUGUCCGGAAUUAUUGGGCGUAAAGAGCUCGUAGGCGGCUUGUCACGUCGGGUGUGAAAGCCCGGGGCUUAACCCCGGGUCUGCAUUCGAUACGGGCUAGCUAGAGUGUGGUAGGGGAGAUCGGAAUUCCUGGUGUAGCGGUGAAAUGCGCAGAUAUCAGGAGGAACACCGGUGGCGAAGGCGGAUCUCUGGGCCAUUACUGACGCUGAGGAGCGAAAGCGUGGGGAGCGAAC
Molecule: ribosomal RNA, 702 nt
Filed under: Streptomyces sp.
Lineage: Bacteria; Bacillati; Actinomycetota; Actinomycetes; Kitasatosporales; Streptomycetaceae
Description: bacterial SSU rRNA
Rfam family: Bacterial small subunit ribosomal RNA
Source: RNAcentral